RNAcentral lists this ribosomal RNA (500 nucleotides) under uncultured Glomeromycotina. RNAcentral's name for it is "partial small subunit ribosomal RNA". It matches the Rfam family "Eukaryotic small subunit ribosomal RNA", at positions 591 to 1092 of the family's 1831-position model. Lineage: Eukaryota; Fungi; Glomeromycota. The record is from RNAcentral.
CCAAUAGCGUAUAUUAAAGUUGUUGCAGUUAAAAAGCUCGUAGUUGAAUUUCGGGGUUAGUAGGUUGGUCAUGCCUCUGGUAUGUACUGGUCUCACUGAUUCCUCCUUCCUGAUGAACCUUAAUGCCAUUAAUUUGGUGUUUUGGGGAAUUUGGACUGUUACUUUGAAAAAAUUAGAGUGUUUAAAGCAAGCUAACGCUUGAAUACAUUAGCAUGGAAUAAUGAAAUAGGACGUUCGAUCCUAUUUUGUUGGUUUCUAGGAUUGACGUAAUGAUGAAUAGGGAUAGUUGGGGGCAUUAGUAUUCAAUUGUCAGAGGUGAAAUUCUUGGAUUUAUUGAAGACUAACUACUGCGAAAGCAUUUGCCAAGGAUGUUUUCAUUAAUCAAGAACGAAAGUUAGGGGAUCGAAGACGAUCAGAUACCGUCGUAGUCUUAACCAUAAACUAUGCCGACUAGGGAUCGGAUGAUGUUAAUUUUCUAAUGACUCAUUCGGCGCCUUACG